RNAcentral lists this ribosomal RNA (476 nucleotides) under uncultured bacterium. RNAcentral describes it as "bacterial SSU rRNA". It matches the Rfam family "Bacterial small subunit ribosomal RNA", at positions 29 to 506 of the family's 1533-position model. The record is from RNAcentral.
AUGAACGCUAGCGGCAGGCCUAACACAUGCAAGUCGAGGGGUAGGCAUCUUCGGAUGUUGAGACCGGCGCACGGGUGCGUAACGCGUAUGCAAUCUACCUUAUACUAAGGGAUAGCCCAGAGAAAUUUGGAUUAAUACCUUAUAGGAUAUCAGAAUGGCAUCAUUUAGAUAUUAAAGAUUAAUUGGUAUAAGAUGAGCAUGCGUCCCAUUAGUUAGUUGGUAAGGUAACGGCUUACCAAGACGAUGAUGGGUAGGGGUCCUGAGAGGGAGAUCCCCCACACUGGUACUGAGACACGGACCAGACUCCUACGGGAGGCAGCAGUGAGGAAUAUUGGUCAAUGGGCGCAAGCCUGAACCAGCCAUGCCGCGUGCAGGAUGACGCAUCUAUGGUGUGUAAACUGCUUUUGUACAGGAAGAAACAGUUCUUUGCGAAGAACCUUGACGGUACUGUAAGAAUAAGGAUCGGCUAACUCCGU